This 481-nucleotide ribosomal RNA is filed under the name Pontibacillus chungwhensis. RNAcentral's name for it is "bacterial SSU rRNA". It matches the Rfam family "Bacterial small subunit ribosomal RNA", at positions 11 to 467 of the family's 1533-position model. Lineage: Bacteria; Bacillati; Bacillota; Bacilli; Caryophanales; Bacillaceae. The record is from RNAcentral.
GUUUGAUCCUGGCUCAGGACGAACGCUGGCGGCGUGCCUAAUACAUGCAAGUCGAGCGCGUGAAUCAACAUGAUCCCUUCGGGGUGAUUGUUGUGGAUCGAGCGGCGGACGGGUGAGUAACACGUGGGCAACCUACCCAUGAGAUCGGGAUAACUCCGGGAAACCGGAGCUAAUACCGAAUAACCCAGUGAACUGCAUGGUUCACUGGUAAAAGGCGGUUUCGGCCGUCACUCAUGGAUGGGCCCGCGGCGCAUUAGCUAGUUGGUAAGGUAACGGCUUACCAAGGCAACGAUGCGUAGCCGACCUGAGAGGGUGAUCGGCCACACUGGGACUGAGACACGGCCCAGACUCCUACGGGAGGCAGCAGUAGGGAAUCUUCCGCAAUGGACGAAAGUCUGACGGAGCAACGCCGCGUGAACGAUGAAGGUCUUCGGAUCGUAAAGUUCUGUUGUUGGGGAAGAACAAGUACCAGAGGAAAUGC